ACACUGACGUCGCGACGCAUAUCAAUAAGCGGAGGAAAAGCUGUUACCUACGCUUAGGAUGUUGAGGAGACUGUCGAUCUCAUCUACACUGGACGUCGCGACGCAUAUCAAUAAGCGGAGGAAAAGAAACUAACAAGGAUUCCCCUAGUAACGGCGAGUGAAGCGGGAAGAGCUCAAAUUUGAAAUCUUAAAGGUUUUACCUUGACGAAUUGUAGUUUAAAGAAGUGUUUUCUGUUGAGGUUUUGGUAAAAGUUCUUUGGAAUAGGACAUCAUAGAGGGUGAGAAUCCCGUAUUUGACCUUUACUUUCAACUUUGUGAUACACUUUCAAAGAGUCGGAUUGUUUGGGAAUGCAGUCCAAAAUGGGUGGUAAAUUUCAUCUAAGGCUAAAUAUUGGCGAGAGACCGAUAGCGUAACAAGUACCGUGAGGGAAAGAUGAAAAGAACUUUGAAAAGAGAGAUUAAACAGUACGUGAAAUUGUCAAAAGGGAAGCGUUUGACACCAGUGUUGUUUUUCUGAAAAUCAAUUAAAGAACUGUUUAUGCUAAGUUGUUUAGACUUUAUCAGCUAACUGUUUAGUUUUGAGCUUUUCUUUAAUGCACUUUUCAGUUAACAAGUCAACAUCAAUUUCUUUUGCUGUAAAAAAGCUUGAGGAAGGUGGCUUGAGAUUCGUCUUAAGUGUUUAUAGCCUCUUGCCUAUGCAGUCGGAGAGAUUGAGGUCUGCAGCGUAGAUCCUUCGGGGCUAAAUGCAUUUGUGCUAAGUUAUAGCAUUUUAUAGACAACUUGUUGACUAUGAUUUGUCUUGUAGCUUACUCGCUUAUGUUAUUUUACCUACGCUUAGGAUGUUGAGUAGCGACAUACGCAC
This 862-nucleotide ribosomal RNA is filed under the name uncultured Neocallimastigales. RNAcentral's name for it is "partial large subunit ribosomal RNA". It matches the Rfam family "Eukaryotic large subunit ribosomal RNA", at positions 1 to 649 of the family's 3401-position model. The record is from RNAcentral. Lineage: Eukaryota; Fungi; Neocallimastigomycota; Neocallimastigomycetes; Neocallimastigales.